RNAcentral lists this ribosomal RNA (695 nucleotides) under uncultured Gilliamella sp. RNAcentral describes it as "bacterial SSU rRNA". It matches the Rfam family "Bacterial small subunit ribosomal RNA", at positions 662 to 1357 of the family's 1533-position model. The record is from RNAcentral. Lineage: Bacteria; Pseudomonadati; Pseudomonadota; Gammaproteobacteria; Orbales; Orbaceae.
UAGAAUUCCACGUGUAGCGGUGAAAUGCGUAGAGAUGUGGAGGAAUACCGGUGGCGAAGGCGGCCUUCUGGACAGAUACUGACGCUGAGAUGCGAAAGCGUGGGGAGCAAACAGGAUUAGAUACCCUGGUAGUCCACGCUGUAAACGAUGUCGAUUGGAGUUUGUUGCCUGAGUGAUGGGCUCCGAAGCUAACGCGAUAAAUCGACCGCCUGGGGAGUACGGCCCGCAAGGUUAAAACUCAAAUGAAUUGACGGGGGCCCCGCACAAGCGGUGGAGCAUGUGGUUUAAUUCGAUGCAACGCGAAGAACCUUACCUGGUCUUGACAUCCACAGAAUCUUGCAGAGAUGCGAGAGUGCCUUCGGGAACUGUGAGACAGGUGCUGCAUGGCUGUCGUCAGCUCGUGUUGUGAAAUGUUGGGUUAACUCCCGCAACGAGCGCAACCCUUGUCCUUUGUUGCCAGCGGUUUGGCCGGGAACUCAAAGGAGACUGCCGUUGAUAAAGCGGAGGAAGGUGGGGACGACGUCAAGUCAUCAUGGCCCUUACGACCAGGGCUACACACGUGCUACAAUGGCGUAUACAAAGGGAGGCGACCUCGCGAGAGCAAGCGGACCUCACAAAGUACGUCUAAGUCCGGAUUGGAGUCUGCAACUCGACUCCAUGAAGUCGGAAUCGCUAGUAAUCGUGAAUCAGAAUGU